RNAcentral lists this ribosomal RNA (2924 nucleotides) under Staphylococcus capitis. RNAcentral's name for it is "bacterial LSU rRNA". It matches the Rfam family "Bacterial large subunit ribosomal RNA". The record is from RNAcentral. Lineage: Bacteria; Bacillati; Bacillota; Bacilli; Caryophanales; Staphylococcaceae.
AGAUUAAGUUAUUAAGGGCGCACGGUGGAUGCCUUGGCACUAGAAGCCGAAGAAGGACGUUACUAACGACGAUAUGCUUUGGGUAGCUGUAAGUAAGCGUUGAUCCAGAGAUUUCCGAAUGGGGGAACCCAACAUGAGUUAUGUCAUGUUAUCGACAUGUGAAUUCAUAGCAUGUCAGAAGGCAGACCCGGAGAACUGAAACAUCUUAGUACCCGGAGGAAGAGAAAGAAAAAUCGAUUCCCUGAGUAGCGGCGAGCGAAACGGGAAGAGCCCAAACCAACAAGCUUGCUUGUUGGGGUUGUAGGACACUCUAUACGGAGUUACAAAAGAACAUGUUAGACGAAUCAUCUGGAAAGAUGAAUCAAAGAAGGUAAUAAUCCUGUAGUCGAAAACAUAUUCUCUCUUGAGUGGAUCCUGAGUACGACGGAGCACGUGAAAUUCCGUCGGAAUCUAGGAGGACCAUCUCCUAAGGCUAAAUACUCUCUAGUGACCGAUAGUGAACCAGUACCGUGAGGGAAAGGUGAAAAGUACCCCGGAAGGGGAGUGAAAGAGAACUUGAAACCGUGUGCUUACAAGUAGUCAGAGCCCGUUCAUGGGUGAUGGCGUGCCUUUUGUAGAAUGAACCGGCGAGUUACGAUCUGAUGCAAGGUUAAGCAGCGAAUGUGGAGCCGUAGCGAAAGCGAGUCUGAAUAGGGCGUUGAGUAUUUGGUCGUAGACCCGAAACCAGGUGAUCUACCCUUGGUCAGGUUGAAGUUCAGGUAACACUGAAUGGAGGACCGAACCGACUUACGUUGAAAAGUGAGCGGAUGAACUGAGGGUAGCGGAGAAAUUCCAAUCGAACUUGGAGAUAGCUGGUUCUCUCCGAAAUAGCUUUAGGGCUAGCCUCAAGUGAUGAUUAUUGGAGGUAGAGCACUGUUUGGACGAGGGGCCCCUCUCGGGUUACCGAAUUCAGACAAACUCCGAAUGCCAAUCAAUUUAACUUGGGAGUCAGAACAUGGGUGAUAAGGUCCGUGUUCGAAAGGGAAACAGCCCAGACCACCAGCUAAGGUCCCAAAAUAUAUGUUAAGUGGAAAAGGAUGUGGCGUUGCCCAGACAACUAGGAUGUUGGCUUAGAAGCAGCCAUCAUUUAAAGAGUGCGUAAUAGCUCACUAGUCGAGUGACACUGCGCCGAAAAUGUACCGGGGCUAAACAUAUUACCGAAGCUGUGGAUUGUCCUUCGGACAAUGGUAGGAGAGCGUUCUAAGGGCGUUGAAGCAUGAUCGCAAGGACAUGUGGAGCGCUUAGAAGUGAGAAUGCCGGUGUGAGUAGCGAAAGACGGGUGAGAAUCCCGUCCACCGAUUGACUAAGGUUUCCAGAGGAAGGCUCGUCCGCUCUGGGUUAGUCGGGUCCUAAGCUGAGGCCGACAGGCGUAGGCGAUGGAUAACAGGUUGAUAUUCCUGUACCACCUAGUAUCGUUUUAAUCGAUGGGGGGACGCAGUAGGAUAGGCGAAGCGUGCUGUUGGAGUGCACGUCCAAGCAGUAAGGCUGAGUGUUAGGCAAAUCCGGCACUCGUUAGGCUGAGCUGUGAUGGGGAGAGGAAAUUGUUUCCUCGAGUCGUUGAUUUCACACUGCCGAGAAAAGCCUCUAGAUAGAUAACAGGUGCCCGUACCGCAAACCGACACAGGUAGUCAAGAUGAGAAUUCUAAGGUGAGCGAGCGAACUCUCGUUAAGGAACUCGGCAAAAUGACCCCGUAACUUCGGGAGAAGGGGUGCUCUUUAGGGUUCACGCCCAGAAGAGCCGCAGUGAAUAGGCCCAAGCGACUGUUUAUCAAAAACACAGGUCUCUGCUAAACCGUAAGGUGAUGUAUAGGGGCUGACGCCUGCCCGGUGCUGGAAGGUUAAGAGGAGUGGUUAGCUUCUGCGAAGCCACGAAUCGAAGCCCCAGUAAACGGCGGCCGUAACUAUAACGGUCCUAAGGUAGCGAAAUUCCUUGUCGGGUAAGUUCCGACCCGCACGAAAGGCGUAACGAUUUGGGCACUGUCUCAACGAGAGACUCGGUGAAAUCAUAGUACCUGUGAAGAUGCAGGUUACCCGCGACAGGACGGAAAGACCCCGUGGAGCUUUACUGUAGCCUGAUAUUGAAAUUCGGCACAGCUUGUACAGGAUAGGUAGGAGCCAUUGAAACGUGAGCGCUAGCUUACGUGGAGGCGUUGGUGGGAUACUACCCUAGCUGUGUUGGCUUUCUAACCCGCACCACUUAUCGUGGUGGGAGACAGUGUCAGGCGGGCAGUUUGACUGGGGCGGUCGCCUCCUAAAAGGUAACGGAGGCGCUCAAAGGUUCCCUCAGAAUGGUUGGAAAUCAUUCACAGAGUGUAAAGGCAUAAGGGAGCUUGACUGCGAGACCUACAAGUCGAGCAGGGUCGAAAGACGGACUUAGUGAUCCGGUGGUUCCGCAUGGAAGGGCCAUCGCUCAACGGAUAAAAGCUACCCCGGGGAUAACAGGCUUAUCUCCCCCAAGAGUUCACAUCGACGGGGAGGUUUGGCACCUCGAUGUCGGCUCAUCGCAUCCUGGGGCUGUAGUCGGUCCCAAGGGUUGGGCUGUUCGCCCAUUAAAGCGGUACGCGAGCUGGGUUCAGAACGUCGUGAGACAGUUCGGUCCCUAUCCGUCGUGGGCGUAGGAAAUUUGAGAGGAGCUGUCCUUAGUACGAGAGGACCGGGAUGGACAUACCUCUGGUGUACCAGUUGUCGUGCCAACGGCAUAGCUGGGUAGCUAUGUAUGGACGGGAUAAGUGCUGAAAGCAUCUAAGCAUGAAGCCCCCCUCAAGAUGAGAUUUCCCAACUUCGGUUAUAAGAUCCCUCGAAGAUGACGAGGUUAAUAGGUUCGAGGUGGAAGCGUGGUGACACGUGGAGCUGACGAAUACUAAUCGAUCGAAGACUUAAUCAAU